RNAcentral lists this ribosomal RNA (272 nucleotides) under Enterobacter asburiae. RNAcentral's name for it is "partial 16S ribosomal RNA". It matches the Rfam family "Bacterial small subunit ribosomal RNA", at positions 199 to 473 of the family's 1533-position model. Lineage: Bacteria; Pseudomonadati; Pseudomonadota; Gammaproteobacteria; Enterobacterales; Enterobacteriaceae. The record is from RNAcentral.
ACCUUCGGGCCUCUUGCCAUCAGAUGUGCCCAGAUGGGAUUAGCUAGUAGGUGGGGUAACGGCUCACCUAGGCGACGAUCCCUAGCUGGUCUGAGAGGAUGACCAGCCACACUGGAACUGAGACACGGUCCAGACUCCUACGGGAGGCAGCAGUGGGGAAUAUUGCACAAUGGGCGCAAGCCUGAUGCAGCCAUGCCGCGUGUAUGAAGAAGGCCUUCGGGUUGUAAAGUACUUUCAGCGGGGAGGAAGGCGAUAAGGUUAAUAACCUUGUC